GAGAAACCUGAAUGUGUCUCUUAUUUUAUCAUUUCUCCAGUUGAGACUAGAAAGGGAUGAAGCAUAAUAGCAUAUACUGCCUACCUCAAAGAGGGUGCUGCUGGCUUCAAAUGCUGACCAGAUUGUGCUGCUACCAGCAGCUGGCCAAAUGACAAGGUACAUUAUAAUUAUGUGGCUGAGACUGAAAUGCUCUUAAGGCCUAUGUGACUAGCCUAAUGGACUCCACCAAAACCCACCAAGGGCACUAGACCUCACAACCAAAGACCAUAGCUGGAUAUUACAUAUGGGGAGUUGCAGUCACUGGCAAUUUACCAGCAUGCUGCCAGAAGCUGAAGAAUAAACUGUGCCUUCAAAACAAUGCAUCUCUUGGCUGGAUUCUAUUGUAAUCAACACUUUAAUGCCACUACUUUUUUUUUUUUUUUUUUUCUUCUGAGCUCAUCGGAACAGAGCUGUUGAAAAUAGCUUGACAUUUCUCCUUUGCCUCCUGACAUUAAUCAUGGUUAAUUAAGUGACAAUAAAGUUAGGGCUAAUGCAAACAGGCAUUAAUUCUUGUCAUCUCCCUGUUCUCAGGAGUAUUGAAAGUUGGACAAGCAAAGAGAAACAACACUGAAAAUGUAUCCUAAGAAAAAAAAACAUUCAAUUAACAUCAACAUUGGAGGUCUUGUCAGAUAUCUGUUAUAACAUAUGCUACAGUUUUUUACCAAUAACUGCAUGUCAGAAAACUCCUGUGUCUACUCAGAUGUAAGACUGAGGUCUACUUUUACAAGCGUGGGGAUAUAAGCUCUCAUAACCUUACUGCUAGGUGAACGGCAGGCAGAUGUAGACAAAUGUAUCUGGUUCGUUUUUCUAGAAACUCUUAUCAAAAACACUGAUGUGCUUCUUCUCAAAUGUAGGAAGCUAAAUCAAGGGUGUUCAUGAGUGAGUAAUAUUUCCUGAGUGGCAAGUAACAGAUUUGGAAAAAAAGGUUUAAGCAAACAAUUCCUUUUUUUUUUUUUUCCUUCUCUCCAGGUGAGUUGAGAAAAAUAAUAAUUAAAAGAUCAGCUUAGAAAGGCCAAAUAACUUUCACAAGAUGAAACUACUGCUGAUCAAAGGUGUGUUGGCCUUGGAAUAGUUCUGAAAUGCCUCUUUCAGCUGACUGAGGAGGCAGCUAGUUGCUUACCCACCUAUACACCACUCACAGCUCACUGCCUAGGCCUGGAGGAUAGACAAGUAGAUCUUUUUCUUAAAGGAUAUGAGAUCACAGAAUGGUUUGUGUUGAAAGGGAUCUCAAAGGCCUCUAGUUCCACCACCUGCCAGGGACAGGAAACGUUUCACUAGGCCAGGUUUCCCAAAGUUCCAUUCAGCUUGGCCUUAAAUAUCUUCAGGGAUGGGGUAUCCACAGCUUCUCUGGACAAUUUGUUUUAAUGUCACACCACCCUCAUAAAGAUUUCCCUCCUUGUAUAUAAUCUAAAUCUACCUUUGUUUUUUUUUGUAUGAAACCAUUACACUUUUACCUGUCACCACACUCCUCGAUGAAGAGUUCUUCCCCAUUUUUCCUGUAGGCCCCUUUGAAUAUUGGAAGGCAGCUAUAAGGUCUUCCAAGAGCCUUCUCUUCUCUGGGCUAAAUAGCUCAAACUUUCUCAGCCUGUCUUUGUAGGAGAGGUCCCCCAGCCCUUUGAUAAUCUCUGUGGCCCUUUUUGGACCUGCUGUAACAGCUCCACAUUUUUCUUGUUCUGGGGGCCUCAAAUCUGGAAGCAGUAAUCCAGGUAUGGCCCCGCAGGAGCAGAGUAGAAAGCGGUGAUCACCUCCCUCAGCCUGCUGGCCAUACUUCUUUUAAUGCAGCCUAGGAUACAGUUGGCCUUCUGGGUUGUAAGCACACAAUGCUGGCCAGUGUCAAGCUUUCCAUCUGUCAGCACCCCCAAGUUCUUAUCCAUAGGACUGCUCUUUAUCUACUCAUUGCUCAGCCUGUAUUGAUGUUUGGGAUUGUCUCAACUCAGGUGCAGGACCUAGCACUUGGGCCUUGCUGAAUUGCAUAUUGUUCACAUGGGCCCAGGUGUUGAGUCUGUCAAGGUACUUCUGGACGGCAUUCUUUCCCUCCAGCGUAGUGAUGACAUUAACUAUUUCAGCUAAAGUAGUUACAGCUCCAUUUCUAGAUACAAGGUCCACACAGUAUCUCUGGCUCUAAAUUUGUUCUCCAUGGCUUCAUCUCAUUCCAACCUUUUGCCACCACCAAACCAAACAUGCUUCAUCACUUACUAGCCAGCCUCACAGAAUUACUUUUGUGUAGUAGCCAUUACUAGCCACUGCUCUUUCAAAGCUUGCUAGUGCUGUGCCCCCACAGCAGUCAUAGAAUUAUAGAGUUUUUUGAGUUAGAAGGGCCCCUUAAAGGUCACCCAGUCUAAUUCCCCUGCAAUGAACAGUCACCCACUGUUCACCAUCUCUUGGGGCUCUCUUCCGGAGAUCUUCACAGUGCCUCUGCAGCACUUCUGCCUGCUGGCCUGGGGCUCUGUAGGACUGUCUCUUUCCACAAGGAGAAGGUGCUAGAAGCUGGGGUUCAGCUGCCUUUCUUUACUACCACAUGGUACCCUGGAGACAUUUGUCUUCCUCAUAUGUUAUCAUUUCAGAUAGAUAUCAAAUCAUGCACUAGUUUCCUGAACAUUAACUGAGACUUUUUUUCCCAGUAAAAAGAUCAGAUGACAUGAAAGGCGUCAACUAUCCAGUCAUCUCCCCUUUUUUUUCUGACACAUCCUUGGAAAGAGUUCCUACACAUCACUUUGACCUCUUCUACUGAGAAAUUCCAAAUGUUUCUCAGUGUUGAUUCAGAAGUUGCAACUACAGCAUCCACCAGGUUCCCUCUGCAGCACCUUCUAUCCCCACAGUCCCCACGUGAGAGUGAAGGCUGGAGCAGGGCUGGAGCAUACAAGUCGCUGCACCUCUUCUGACAAGUGCCAUUUCCUGGGAUCCUUACCAUUUCAGUGCACUUGAGAUUGCUUCAGUCCAGCAGAUGCACUGAGUCCAUGAAGAAAUUAAAAGCAGCCAAAGAUCAGACUCUUCAUUGAAGUGGCGCGAGUGGGAAUCACUUUGGAGGGAGAAAGCCAUAGCAGGAGGAGGAAGCAGCUCAUAUUUACCUUCUAGAUGCUAGACCCAAGGUGGAGAUCACAAUGCUGGCUCUAUGCCUUGAGAAGUGGCCAAAUAAAUCCAAAGAGGUCCACCAAGAAUUAUUUCCAUAAAGGCAACACCAUCUCACCAGGUAAAAGCCAUUUUUCAUCUGUCAAAAGUCAGAGGGAGAAUUUAAGAAACAUAGAAUUAAAAUUUACAUAAUUUUCUUCCUUGUGCUUUCUUAUAUUUACAUUUUACCAAGCUCAUUACUACUUGUGAGGUGUCUUUGCUUUAAAAAUAUAACAAGAGUAAUCAAUUAUGACUGCUAGCUAUUAGAUAAGGAGGUGACACUUGGGAGCAAUUUGGAUUGCUGAGUUCAUUUGAACAGUAUGCACUUGAACACAGAUAAUGUAACGUCAUUAACCUUGCCAUAAAAAAUAAAAGGUUACUGUUAUAGAAAAGGUCACUGUAUUUCAGAAAUAAAUAUCCAGAUCAAGGAUUUAAGGGUCAUAUUACCAGGCAACUGAUUAUACAUUCUUAAUGUGAGGCUGAUCCUGAUUUUACCACUGCUUUUGUGCAGAACGUGGUAUUAACUAUUUAGGUUGUCAAGACCUCACUGAAAUUAGUAGAAAUCCCAACUGGAAGGUAGGUAUAAGUGAGAGUUUUUAAAGAUAAAUAUAUUGUUUCAAGCAAUAAUAUUUAUAAUCUGCUGGCAUUUAAUUUUUAUCUGUGAUGUUGUUGCAUGAUUCUUUUGAUAAAGCUUUGCAUCCCAGAAUCAUGCAGUCUUGUCAGAAAUGCAACAUUCAUUAAAAAUGAAAUGACUCUCCC
This is a long non-coding RNA of Gallus gallus (chicken), 3906 nucleotides long. RefSeq lists it as uncharacterized. The record is from RefSeq and is a predicted model, not a curated record. The transcript is spliced from 4 exons. NCBI's taxonomy places the organism in Eukaryota, Metazoa, Chordata, Aves, Galliformes, Phasianidae.